Falco peregrinus (peregrine falcon) is the source of this 3111-nucleotide long non-coding RNA. RefSeq lists it as uncharacterized. The transcript has 18 exons. The record is from RefSeq and is a predicted model, not a curated record. NCBI's taxonomy places the organism in Eukaryota, Metazoa, Chordata, Aves, Falconiformes, Falconidae.
GUGAAAACGCAAAAUCAUCACAAACUGAAGUCUGCAGACAACUCCAGUUUGGGAGAAGUGGGUCAGUGGAAGAGAAGCAGCUGACUGCGCCGAGUAACUCUGGAUCCUGCGGGUUGGCUUAACAAGAAGGUGUGUAGCACUGGUGAAGUUUAAAGUGAUGCAAGUAUUGGGAAUAUGGCAGCUGCUGAAAGAGAGAAGACAGCUGAUGUGGAAUGACCUGAAUCGGUUUGGUAUACUGAAAAGGGCAAAGAAAACUGCCUGUCAGUGAGAAGUUCUUCCUGUGGAGUGAUGUACAAAAUUCUAGUAAGAGACUCUUUGUCCCGAAGAUCAUGCCUUUGAAGUAUGCAAGACAGGCAAAGUGUGGCAGAAGGGAAGAACUGUUAUAACUAAUUUACAGGAAACUGAAGCUCAAAGAUGUUAACUUUUCCCAAGAUCAGACAGAAGGCUGGAACUGUGAAUCAAGAUUAAUGAAAAACUGGACCUAAGAAAACAUGUCCUUCAGCUGAAUUGCUCCUCGGUUCCUUCAUCUUUACAAGAUCUCUCUUCAUUUUGCCCUCCUAAGUUGGGAAAAUUAAUACAUCCCAAAGCGUGGAACUAGCCUGGGAGAUCCCUUGACUUCCUGACUGCAUUGUCUGGGAUGAUAAACUCGAGGGAGAAUGAAGAUUUGAGCUCAUGUAUCCCAUGCCAGUGCUGUCAUUGCCAGAAUACUCUAGAGCCUGCAAAUUCCUUUGUCACCCUCCACAUGAACAGGGCUCUGUUUGGCCUCACAGGAGGCUCUGAUGUGACAGAGCCCCUGGAUAUUUUGCAGAGCAGAGAUGCUGCUCUUUGCUCAGCCCUGGUAACAAGUUCCUGGUGUGGUGUUUAGUGUUUUGUGUUGGCUGCGCUGUGGCUGGAGGCAAAGCAUCGAUGGAGAGGCUUGGAAUGAAUGGUGGGAAGUGAUUUAAGCACAACGCGGCGGAGGAGCCGGAAUGCCAUGUGUGGUGUCUGCUGUCACUGGCAGCACAACAGUGGAACACUGAGCUGGGACGGAAGGGAAUGAGGAUGGAGGAAAUGGGGAUUAAAAAACUUUUAUUAAUGAAACAGCUGUAACACCUUAGGUUUAGAUGUCACGUUCCCAUCUUCUAAUGUCUAUGGAGAGGAGGAGAAAUGACUUUCCAAAGACAAGCCAGCUGACAAGGAGUGUGAUUUUAAAACAGGCAAGACUGUUGGAAAGAAAAACCUCUUUGGUCAUCUGAAGUAGCAGGAAACAAAUGGAAGAGAAGGGUCUUGGAAAGUGAGAGCGUUUCUGAACCUGCCCGACAUGCAUUCCCUUCGCGCCAGCUCACGCCCGAUCUGUCUUUCCUUCAAUCUUAUUCCUUUCUGUUUCAGAAGAUACUGUUCCAGAGACAGGUCUACAGGAAACUGACUGAAAUGUUUAAAUAGAUAACCGAAGACAUCACACAUUCUGAAAAAUUACAAGGAACAUGCAGGAAAUCUUUAACAUGAGUGUGAAAAAGAUGACGGUUCUGCUUCUUCCAUGACAUUGUAAUAUCAGCUUGGCUGGGAAUAUAAUCACUAAGCUGUACACAAACCCAGCUGUGGAGACAGCAAAAAGCACCUGAGAAGUCAGCACAGAACAAGCUUGUUUUCAUUAAAGCAGUGAUUUAAUUACCACCAGCAAUGCUCACCUACAACUGUUGAUGUCAACGUGCAGUGUUGAUUUGGGAUGAGGUGUGUUGACAUAAUGAAAAAAAUUUUGUCCGAGCAUGAACCCUUUACCCUGGGCUUCCACAGGUCUGGCUUCCAAAGUCGGAGGCUACUUUGCUACCAGGAUCAUUUAGAAUUCUGAAACAGUGGUCCAAGCGCUUGCAAAGGUCUUGGUGACCUGCACAGUCUCUUUAUUUUGCCAUCCAGGUUAUUAAUGGAAGUUUUGAACAAGAGCAAGCCUAGAACACAUUCCUAAGUUGAAAUAACCACAUGAUUUGAUACUCAGACUUGCACUGGUGGCUGUGCAGGCAACUCUAACGUCAUCAUGCAGCUGCAUUCUGUGGGGUCCUGGGGAGGGACAGCGCCCAUUGCAUCUACAGAGUUUGGAACAGGCAGUACAAGUACCCAGCCCCCUGAACUGGAAGACAGGGGCAAGGAGCAGAAUGAAGCCCCCACAAUACAAGGGGAAAUGGUCAAUGACCUGAUACACCACUUAGGCACACACACGAGUCUGUGCGGUCGGAUGGGAUCCACCCAAAGGAGAACAUCAAGGAAAACUAUUAUUUUCCUUCAGUCUUGAAGGUAUGGAGAUUAUUAGCAUUUUAUGCCACUGAGGUCACAUCAAGACUCCAUUGGAAAUGUAGAGGAAAUUAACUUUACAAUUUUAUAGCAGGAAAUCCAACAUUCAACAUAAAGGUGUGAUUCAUAAAACUCACUCAUUUGAUUCUGCCUUCAGAGCUUAAACCCGCAGACCUACAUCCCAAUCCAAGUGGAAAGGUGGUUGUAAUUCAGUAACUGUCUGCCUGGCAAGAAGAAUCAGGUCAUUACCCAUGACUGGCAGUGCUAAAAGAGCAGCUGGAAUUCAUACCAAUUCCCGCCCUGGAAGAGAUGGUGAUGUGUCAGGUUGGAUAUAACGAGGCAACUUCAGUGUAGAAUGACAGAAGAGCAGGUGUGCCCCGGUUCCUGAUGUUCUUGGAUAAAUACACACAUCUGCAACCUGAAAAGCCCAGGCAACAGUUUAAGGACCUGCAUCAUCCAUAAAACGGAGAAGAUGACAGUGUCUUUCCUUCAUUUACCUGCUGUUUGAGAACUUCAGCAUGGAUAUCGCAGAUUCCUCCUGACCCUGUCCCAGUGUUGUCCUUCACUUUACGACGCACAGUUUAAGGUCAAAUGAUAGCCACAUCAUCAACCGCAUUCCAUCCACAGAUGGAGCUGAGUGGUGUAUGUAGUUGGCUGCUAAUCUGCGAGUGAUGGAGGAGGUGACAGAGGCUACAACAGGGGUUUAUUACACUCUGUGUAGGCUACGGAGAGCUUUGUGAAACCCAGGUUUCAAGUGGCAUAAAUUGGUUUUACGACUCUGACCUCUGCUGAACUACGGAGCAACUGCUGGAACGAUCUGGAUCCUUAACUGGUGCAAUUUGGCAU